Molecule: ribosomal RNA, 119 nt
Organism: Danio rerio (zebrafish)
Lineage: Eukaryota; Metazoa; Chordata; Actinopteri; Cypriniformes; Danionidae
Source: Ensembl
AUAUCCAUAUUAUAUCACCCUGCAGACCAAGACCGGUUACUCACUGAAGGUAAGCAGGGCUGAGCCUGGUCAGUACUUGGAUGGGAGACCACAUGGGAAAACAUUUGCUGUUGGAAAUG